UUGAGUUAAAUGGAAAAGAUUUUUAAAUAUCUUAAGAUCUUUAUGGCAGUUUUAAAACAAGGUCACAUAUUCGUUGACACUCCAGCCGUUGAAACGAGGGGUCUUUAUCCCCUCCUCUUGAAUAUAGACGGGGCUUGUGAUUCUUUGACCAAUCAAGUGGCAGUGAACCCUAUGUGACUUCCGAGGUUAGAUCACAAAAGGCCACACAGCUUCCACCUUGCUACAGGAACACUUGCUCUUAGUGCUGGGAGGUCAUGUAAGAAGUCUGACUACCCUGAGGUCACAUUGCUAGAGAGACCAUAUGUAGGCAUUCUGGAUGACAGUCCCAGCUAAGCCCAGCCUUCCGGCCAUUCCCCCAAAGUAUGAGCCAUAGGAGUGACCAUUUGGGGUUCAGCUGGGUGAUCCUUCUCUUCUACAUGGUGUUAAUGGAAGUCACUUGGUGGAACUGGAGAAUGAACUAGCUGGAGGAAUGGACUAGCUGAUUCUUGCCCAAAUUCCUGACCCGCAAAACUGUGAGAUGCAAUUAAAAAAAGUUUUAAGCCAGUAAGUUUUGGAGUAGUUUGCUAUGUAGCAACAUGGAACAAGACCCCUCUGCCUGCACCCCCUGAAAGAACAGAGAGACAUAAGAGAAUAAAAAAUUCAUAUAGCUGCUGAAUGGGGGUCUCAUAUUCUGUGAGUAGAAGAAAGAAUUGGGCAUUAUAUAACCUAAACACAGGAAUAUGGACCAUGAGAGCCAUCAGACCACCCUACAUGGAGGGUCAUAAUAUAAUAGAUCAAAAACCUGUCCCAUCAAUGUCCUCAACAAGAAUCCAAUCAUUGUUCCAGCUGAAGUUCUCCACUCUUACGGAAUUUCAACUAGCAAAGAAGAUAUGCUACAAAAUUGCUUGAAAUGGCAUAAUUAUUUCCUUGAUGGUUAAACAUCUUUCAACUCUAAAGAUUUAGAAUUAAAAAUAGAAAUGCCUAAGUAAUAAAAACCACAGUAUUACUAUUUGUUUUAAUGAAUCUGGGCAUUUUUAAUAUUUUAUGUACUUAUGAUGUUCAUAAGAAUUUGGUCAAUUAGAGUAACAGAUCAGCCUUGUAAUUCUAAUUGAAAAUGUAUAAUUGAGUAAUUAAUUUAGACUUGUAAUUUCACAAUGAAAUCUUAUUAAGUUUAUGAACAGUUUGAGCACAUUUAAGGGAAUUCAAGUUUCUCAAAUAUUAUGUUAGAUUUUUUAAUAUUUUUAGAUAUUACUUGGAAAGGUUUCUUUUAGUUAAGUCACAUAGUUUGUGUACCAAAUGAAUUUAAAAUAUUUGAAGACAUUUUACUAAGUUCCCAAAAUGGGAUGAACAUUGUUUAAAGCCAAUAUAUUUCCUAAUUUAAAUGCCUUACAAAAGAAUUUCCUCCUGCCAUACAUUUGCUAAGAGCUAUUCUUAUUCUUUCUCUCCUGGGGAUUUAACUGAGCUGUCUAAGAAGUAUGGCUGGUCACUGCCAGAGGCAAGAAGGAAAGGAAAUUCUUCCUGAGCAAGGGUGAAGAAGAGUCUGUGAACUGUCAGCAACAGAGACGAGCUCAGCAGCUUCUGCACAAAAGAUAACUCUGCCUUGAAAACCCAUGACCCGUCCGUGCUCCGAGCUGCUCAUGGUGCUUUCUCUGCCACUCCACUGCAUCCAGAAAAGUGGAUGGGCACCUUUACAUGAGGAACACUGCAACCAACGCUCAGGAGACUCUCUGAAGUGAGAACAGGACCUGUUACCUAGACCAGUUCCAGGCGGCAAAUAAAAGACAGCUGUGCUCUCUUCCUCUGCUGCUCCUGUGUGACCGAUCCAGCACCCAGAUGUGAGAGCUGCUGCUUCAUCGAAACUUUAAAGAAUAUGGAAGAAGAAUCAGAAAGAAUGAGGAGCAUUCUUCCCCCACAGCCCCAAGCUUGGUGACAAGCAAGGACUCAAGUCCAGAAGAUCUGUGACUGCCUUUACUCCCACUGCAGCAUUAAGAGAUUUUUUUUUUCCCAAGGAAGAUUAGCCCUGAGCCAACAUUCUUGCCCAUCCUCCUCUACCCUACACGUGGGACGCCUAACACAGCAUGGCUUGCCACACAGUGCCAUA
Molecule: long non-coding RNA, 2080 nt
Organism: Equus quagga
Lineage: Eukaryota; Metazoa; Chordata; Mammalia; Perissodactyla; Equidae
Exons: 3
Source: RefSeq, a predicted model, not a curated record